RNAcentral lists this ribosomal RNA (253 nucleotides) under uncultured bacterium. Its description in RNAcentral is "partial 16S ribosomal RNA". It matches the Rfam family "Bacterial small subunit ribosomal RNA", at positions 524 to 776 of the family's 1533-position model. The record is from RNAcentral.
UACGUAGGUGACCAGCGUUGUCCGGAUUUACUGGGCGUAAAGAGCGCGCAGGCGGUCGUUCAAGUCGAGUGUGAAAGCCCCCGGCUCAACUGGGGAGGGUCAUUCGAUACUGAUCGACUUGAAGGCAGGAGAGGGAAGUGGAAUUCCCGGUGUAGUGGUGAAAUGCGUAGAUAUCGGGAGGAACACCUGCGGCGAAGGCGGGUUGCUGGGCUGAUACUGACGCUGAGGCGCGAAAGCCAGGGGAGCGAACGGG